RNAcentral lists this transfer RNA (63 nucleotides) under Stenus comma. RNAcentral's name for it is "tRNA-Val". The record is from RNAcentral. Lineage: Eukaryota; Metazoa; Arthropoda; Insecta; Coleoptera; Staphylinidae.
CAAAUUAGAGCUUGAAUAAGUUUUUUAUUUACAUUAAAAAGAUAAUUUUAUAAUUUAAUUUGA